This is a non-coding RNA of Miniopterus natalensis, 680 nucleotides long. The record is from RefSeq and is a predicted model, not a curated record. NCBI's taxonomy places the organism in Eukaryota, Metazoa, Chordata, Mammalia, Chiroptera, Miniopteridae.
UUAGGGCUUGAGUUUCUGUCGUCCCUUUUCUGGGCCGGAGGCAUUUUAGAAAAUAAUUGGGGCAGGAAGCCGCCCAGUGGACAGGCUGUGCGUUUUACCAUUUCCCCUGCGUACUUAAACGAUGUGUGGCAAGUUCCAACGGAAAAGCUUCAUCUUUUUCUCAAAUUGGAGGCCAUAAAUGAAGACCCAAAGAAGUAGUCCAGUUGAGGUGUUGGAGCUUGCAUACCAUUUCAACAAAAAGCAAUAAAUUCUGGAGAAGUGAGAAGACGAAGGACGGAAACAACUCUGAACACUGUUAUCACGCUGAUCCAAGCCACCAUUGUCUCUCCUUGAUCUCCCUGCAUCGGCUAUGGCCACCUCAACACAAUAGAUACAACAUAGCAUCAAGUUUCUUGUAUACGUGAGCAAACCCACCAAGAAAACAGCACCAGAAACCAAUCUUCCUGCAGUCUCCCCUCUGCCCCAGCUUUGGAACCACUGGCAGUCAGGAUCUUAGGAAGGAUUUUCACAGAUGCUCGUUUCAGGUAAACUUUUAUAAUGACCUCGGCUAGUAGCUCUAUUUGCACACACGCCGAUGAGGAAAUCGACGCAGCUGGAAAAGCGCUUGGCGGACGCGCUGGCCGGGGGCCCCAUCACUAGCCGGGGACGUCAGGGCUCUGAGGUCACCACUGUCCCGAGGC